This 63-nucleotide transfer RNA is filed under the name Melanotus cribricollis. Its description in RNAcentral is "tRNA-Cys". Lineage: Eukaryota; Metazoa; Arthropoda; Insecta; Coleoptera; Elateridae. The record is from RNAcentral.
GGUCUUAUAGUCAAAUUUAUGAUUUUAAACUGCAAAUUUAAAGGUGAGGUUAAUCUAAGGCUU